AAUCACUCUCAGUUCUCUCGCGUUCUCUCUUUCACCCUCUCUCUGUAUUUCUCUGUAUCACUCUCACUCUCUCUUUUCGUUAUGUGUGUAUGUGCGUGCGGAUAAGACAGAGCUAGCAGAUGAGAGCGCCAGGAAGAAUUUCUAUGCCCAGCGCGGCCGCCAUCCCGAGAGGAAAAAAUGGGCAGAAAGGCUUGUUGCAGGAUCUAAUGUAAUCUUUUCUCAAAAACAACGAGAAAGGUUUUCGCUGGCAGUUGUAGUUGUUGUAUGAGAGGAGAUUUAAAAAAAAAAAAAAGAAAAAAAAGGAGGUGAAAGGAAUAUAAGAAAAGAAAUAAAAAGACAACGACAACCACAUCAACAUCAUCAUCAACAUCAGCAACAACGACGUGUUGAACUAUCUGAAAAACACCGACAUCUACACUAAAAAAAUAUAAAGGAAAGCAUAUUCAUAUAUAUACAUACAUAUAUAUAUAUAUAUAUAUAUAUAUAUAUAUAUAUAUAUAUAUGCAAUAUAACUGAUACAGACCAGAAGGAGGUGGAGUUGUAAAAAUAAUAUACAUAUAUAUACGCAUACGUAUAUGUAUGUUGUGUGUAUGUGAAAUUAUAUAGAUAUAUUAUAUAUAUAUUAAUGUGUAUCCAUUUAUAAUCAUUUUGCAGGAAGGAUACAAAAACACACGGAAUAAAAAAAAGUGAUCCUUCUGUUAUUUCAUAAGUAUACCACGUCGUUAUUCCAAACACCACUGAUAAUAAUAAUAAUAUAAUAUUAAUAAUAAUAAUAGUAAUAAUAACAAUGAUAAUAAUAAUUUAAGAAUAAGGAGAAGACCAACAGCAACAUCUUCCAGUGAAACAGUAAUAAUAAUAAUUACCAAAUAACAAAAAUAUAAUUAUUGUUAUUAUUAUCAUCAUUAUUAUUCAUUAUUAGCUUUACUACAUAUCUUCUCCUACUUUUUCUACACAUUAUCGUUAUAUUGUUAUCUAUUAUUAUUAUUAUUAUUAUUAUUAUUAUUAUUAUUAUUAUAAAUACCGUUGUUGUUGUCAUUAGUAUUUCUUUGUGCUUAGUAAGUCGCACCAAUGUUGAAACUACAAACUGCGACUAUUUGAAAAAAAAAAAACCAUCACCAACAACUACAACAACACCAUAACCAACAAUAAGAAGAAGCAAAAAAAAAAAAGAAAAAGAAGUAUAAUCACUACAGCUAACUUUAUACUACAAGGAUAGCCGGAUACGAGGAUGGAUGUUGACUGCUAUUAAAAACAGCGGUUACUGACUUACAAGAAAACCAACAAAAAAAAAGCACCCGAACCAAAAGAGAAGGAUUGUUUUAAUAUAAAUAACGCUUCACUAUCAUGUCUCAGGU
Molecule: long non-coding RNA, 1355 nt
Filed under: Octopus vulgaris (common octopus)
Lineage: Eukaryota; Metazoa; Mollusca; Cephalopoda; Octopoda; Octopodidae
Source: RNAcentral